UAACCUUCACAUAUGCAACGUGCCAUAGUAGUUCUUGUGUUUUUCCCUUCCCAAUGCAACUGUAAAAUAUGACUAAAGCCGACUGAGAAAUCCCCUUUUCAUGUGUAGAAAUAGCAGCUGAAAUUCUCGUAAGCAUCCACUCAGCUGUGAGAUAUAGUAAAUAAUGAAGAUAGAAUAGUAAUCAUAAUCUCAUAAGCAGAGUAUUCAGUAUCAACAAUACCCUCUUCAUGACAGAGAGGAACAAAAUUAAAACAACACAACCAGAUCCAUCCAGAGACAAAAGAAUCAAAAAAAACAAAAGAAAGAAACUGAUGCAAAGUAGUCGCGAACAAAAAGUCUGUCUGUCUGUCUCCCUGAUCUCUCUCUCUCUCUCUCUCUAAAGUAACAGCCACAAGAAAGAUGCACAUCCAAGUCCCAUCAUCCCAACCAUCGUCUUCUCUACUCCACUCUGCAACAAAUUAACCACCCGUCAGCACAUUCGAUAUUACAUUAUUACCAUUACCAGAUGUUGGGCUGUGCCAGCCCAACGGGCUCAUAUUCGGAAUGUUUGUUCAAAGCCCACUGAUGGCAUAUGCAACUUUAUCCAACGUUUCACCACUCAAUUUUUUUUUCUUCUCAAAUUUUCCGCAGAUCUAACAAAAUUUAAUUGUUCUGAUUAGCCCUUUAAUUUAAUAAUAAAAUAAAUAAAGUAGUAACACUCCUUGGAUUCUACGUCUCUUACUCACUGUAUCUCAAAACCUAAAGGAAUUUUUUAAUGUAAAAACGUGACAGCUCUACCUAGUGUGUCACGUGCAGCUUACAGAAAUGAAAAGCCACUUUCCGAUUUUCCUUAGUCCCCUAAACCAUCUGACAUCCACGCGCUGGAUUCAUCUAUUACGACAACACGCGCCGCUUUAGAAUGAGAUCCAAGAUCAGGUCAAACUUAUGAUACAAGAUCUGUUUUACUGUUUGUUCUCUAAUUAGGACCGACCAAACUAAUUAACAUUCACAUUUCCUUACUCUAAUUAGGUCUUUAAUCUCAAUUACUAAUGGUAAAUAGUAAGGAUAAAGAAAACGACGACGUACCAUAUCAGAACCGGUGCCGGCUGGUCCAGGAGCAGAAGCGCCCAAGCUAGGGGAAGGAGCUCCGGUGGGAGGAGCGGGCGGGCUUGAUCCCAGAGGCGAAGGAGCGGAAGCCGGAGACUUCACCUUCUUGGACGGAGCCGGAGCUGGGACCGAAGCAGGUGGAGAUGCCAGGGGAGCUGGUGGCGGGGUUGCCGGAGGAGGAGUGGCUGGCGGUGGGGUUGCCGGAGGAGGAGUUGCAGGUGGUGGAGUGGCGACCGGAGGUGGAGUUGAUGGUGGAGGGGAAGCAGGUGGGGGAGUAGCAGCAACCGGCGGAGGUGUGCUGACUGGAGGAGGAGUUGAUGGAGGUGGGGCGGAGACUGGAGGAGGAGAGGCCGCCGGAGGAGGGGAGGAAGUCGGGGGAGGAGUGGUGCUCACCGGAGGAGCGGCGGUCGGGGUGGUGGGAGUGGGUGGAGCCGGGGUGGCGGUAGGAGAAGCAGCCGGAGAUUGAGCGCCGACGCCGGCGAUGACAAUGCAGAUGAGAGAGAGGACGACCAAAGCUGAUGGACUCUUCAUCUUGCGCCGAUCUAGUUUCCUCUCUCUUCUUUCUUUUCUUCUCGUAAAACUACAAACAGAGAAAGAUAGAGAGAGAGAGAGAGAGAGAGAGAGGAGUGAGGGGGGAAAGAGAGUGAGAAAUCAAACGGGAAUAAAUAGUGGUGGAUAAAUUAAGAA
This 1773-nucleotide long non-coding RNA is filed under the name Linum usitatissimum (flax). Its description in RNAcentral is "long non-coding RNA (LUSI_LNC007216)". The record is from RNAcentral. Lineage: Eukaryota; Viridiplantae; Streptophyta; Magnoliopsida; Malpighiales; Linaceae.